Molecule: long non-coding RNA, 12886 nt
Organism: Peromyscus californicus insignis
Lineage: Eukaryota; Metazoa; Chordata; Mammalia; Rodentia; Cricetidae
Exons: 3
Source: RefSeq, a predicted model, not a curated record
GUAUCGUGUGUUUAUUUCUGCCUCAUCCUGGGGGGAAGAGUGAUACGAUUUCAGGUGCUUAAUAAGGUACUCAGUAACUGUUGAAGUUAUGUUUGGGUUGCAUAACCACGCUGAGGGUAACAUGGGUGAAAACAUAAAACUUAGAAGCUGUAGGAUUUCAGUGGAAGCUGUAGCAAGUAUUCAGCUCAGUGGUAGUCCUAUAAGGGUACAGAUGGUCGCUGUAAUUACUGUGCAGAUAUAAUUGCCAUUAAUCAUGUAGGUAACCAAUAGGUUUGGGACUACACCCAGCUAGGUUAGAGAUAGUAGUUAUCUGAAUUUGCAUUAACCUAAAAGAGAAGGUGAGGAUAAAGAUGGCGUGUGUCCCUUUGUAGUCAGGCAUUUCCAUGUGCCUUCCCUAGAGCACAUUUUAGCAUUCUGCUUACUUAAUUUUCAUUACAAAUAAGUAUUAUCGAUUCAGCAAGUAUGCAUAAAUAUGCAGCGUUCUGUGUUGAUGUAUUCCUUUUUAUAACAUCUCUUCUAGGAAGGAAGAAAAAAGAGGCCUCAAGAUGUGUGUUUUAUGCAAAAGAGACAGAGGGGCAAAUAUCCCACAAAGUAAAUCCACCCGUGUCGGAUGAGGGUCUGGUGAGUGGGAAUAAAGAGUGGGACCCAAGACAACAGGAAGUCUCUGAGUCUCCCUUCUGUGUGGUUUAGCUCCGCGUCUGGGGUCUGGAAAACGGCUCGUUGUAGCAGUGUGCUUGCCCAUGUGGUGAGGAAACCAAACCUCCAGAGUACACAACAGUUUCCUCUACUCCAUGCCCUCUGCUCCAAGGAGGAGCUGGCAUUACUGAGGGACAAUGCCUUUGCUUGUGGCCUCUCUCCCAGGGAUGAGAACUGGUCAGGUUUGAGAAACCUACUGAACCUUGAUGUCCAGUGGUGGAGCCCUCAGCAAAGGCGUAAGAAAGCAAGCCUCUGUCCUUUUGCGAAGAAGUUCGGUAAUCUCUCUCUUCUUCCUCCCCCUCUCCCCCUCCCCCUCCCUUUCCUCCUUCCCCUCUUCCUGUUUCUGUCCUUCUCCCUCUCUUCUACCCUCUCUCAGUCUCUCCUCGCCUGUUUUUCUCCCUGCUGUAUCUGAAACAAGUGCCACUUGUCACACACACACACACACACACACACACACACACACACACACACACACACACAAUGUUCAAGCCUAUUCAUAGGAAAAUGAGGCAGACCCAGGGAUCAUUAUAGCCUCAGUCAGGCCUACCAAUCAGAGGCCACGCCCUCUUCUUGUCACUUCAAACUGUUCUAGAAAUAACCUUUGUUGGAUGGUAGAGAUGAAACCCAAGCUGCAGGUGCAGGCCUGGCGGCAGGAAGCAGCGGGCUCCCUAGGUUGCAUGGUUCUAACUGUGCAAGGCUGCUGAUGGGCAGCCUUCCCCUUCAUCAGAUCUACCUAGGAGAUGUUCUCCUGUACUGGGAAGACUGACUACAGUGGCCCGCUUUCCAAUGUCUUUCUGUUGUCCUCUGCCUUCCCUCCUGUGACUAUAAACAAACUGUCCUUGCUCUGGGCUGGGCUCGUGAAUCAGGGGUAGAGGGCAAGCUUAGGGUGGAGGCAUCCCUGGGUUCAACCUUUAGCACCAAUAAACAAAUACAUCUUUCCCUGCUGUAUCUCAGUCAAAUGCCACUUGUGGACACAGCCUCAUUUCCUCAUUCAUUCAAGAGCAUCUUUCUACAAAACUUCUCCCCUCUCCCUCGAACAGUUUUAAAAAUGGUUUAAGGGCUGGCAAGGUGGCUCAGCAGGGGGAGACUACUGCCAAGCCUAGGAACCUGCAUUUGAUCCCCGGAGCCUGCUCAGUAGGAGGAGAAAACCGACUCCAGGAAGUUGUCCUGUGACCUACAUGCUUGCUCCUCUCCCCCAGUAAAGAAAUGUAAUAAAGAAUUUCAAUGUUUUAAUGUCGAUGGCCAUCCAAAAGGAAAUCUAGAGCUAGGCAUGGUAUCUCAGGCCUGCAGUCCCAGAACCAGAGAGGUAGAGGCAGGAAGACCAAGACUUCAAGGCCAUUGGUUAUCAAAGGAGUUUGAGGCCAAGUGAGGCUACGUGAGACCCUGUCUAAAAGGAAAAACAAAUAUCAAAUCCAAAGCAGAACAAAGAAUACCCUUUGACGUUUCUCUAGCUAUUUUGCCCCUCUCUUCAAUCCUUCACGAUGACGUCUUCUCCUCCACUCUCUUUUUAACCCACUCCUGUUAUCUGAGUGAAGGAUGGCCAGUGGCCGCUGUAUUUUUAAAGCUAAUGAUCUGUUCUCCAGCUUUAAGUAUAGUCCAUCAUUCCUUUAAAAUAUUUUCUUUUUUCUCUCAGGACCCCUCUGAUUUGAUCCAAUCUUACUGGCUUUUCAGGGAACAGUACAUGCCAGCUGGUUAACCCAGCAGAGAGCGUACAAAAUAAAAAAUGCUAAAGGCAUUUCCAGCAAACUCAGAUAGGACAAAGAUGCUAUCAUUGUUAUUAAUAUUGUUUUAGAGAUUAAAUUAAGCAACAAGGUAUGAAAAGUAAGUAAUAGAUAUGAAUACUAAAAAGAAGCAAAUACAGGUCUUGUGUAUACUGUUAAGUGUCUCUUGUAUAAUAUUAGAGGGACCAGUCUUAAUAGUAUACAUCCCAGGGGCUCAGGAGAGAGAACUACUAACGGCGAGGACUAUUUUCGGGAAAUAGAAUCUCAGCACACUGAGCUCUAUAGUCUACUUGCUUUAAUUCCUCUGAUAUAACAUCCUAUAUACACAGCUUCAGUUCUGUUCUUGUGCCUAGCUCCUUUCUUGCCUGAUUUCUCUCUCUAUUUAUCUACUGUUCCCUCUAAGUUCUAUCUUAAUUCUCUCGUCUUAAUUCUGCCUCAUCUAGGUCCUUUUCAUCUUGUUCUUACCCAGCUAGGACUUCCCCAUCUGACUCUUCCUCAUCUUCCAUCUUGUCCACAGGUACUCUCCUUCUCUCUCUCCGUCUCUCCUUUCUUUAUGUUCCUCCUAAGUCUCCCAGGAAUCCAGUUGUAAACCCAAGCAAUGGCAAGCCCCUGGUUGAGCAAGGUCACCAGGCUUGAAAUCUACAGGGUCAUAAAGGCAGGUAAGAAUUUUCCUCAGGCCGUGACCACCAGGCUUCCAGGGUCAAAUGGAGGGGUGAUAAGAAUCACAUAGAGGGACAGUAAUUGUUAAUUAUCAUUUGCAACUCAAAAGGGAAGUGACUAAUGGGGAAAUGAAUUAACUAAAGGCCAAAUUUGGGUAAUAUCUAAGAAGAGGGAUCUUAUAUGCUCCACUAUAGUCUUAAAUGUGAUUGGUAGAAAAUGUUAAGAACCUGUAAGUUGCAGCCGGGUGGUGGUGGUGCCCACCACCCUUUAAUCCCAGCACUCGGGAGGCAGAGCCAGGUGGAUCUCUGUGAGUUUGAGGCUAGCCUGGUCUACAGAGCGAGAUCCAGGACAGGCACCAAAGCUACACAGAGAGACCCUGUCUCGAAAAACAAACAAACAAAAAGAAUCUGUAAGUUGCUAGGUCAAUGGGAGAAAAUAAAACUGCCCCCUUUUUUCCUGUGGCUCCUAUCUGUCCAAGCUAUCUGCCGUUUUUCUGCAGGGUGGGGGAAAGUGUGCUCAGUCGCUAGGCAACCUGUGCACAGCUAGAUGCCUCAGGUGAUAGUUAAAGGGAGAUCUGGAACUAGAGGUAAGAUUUGGGAAAGGAGGAAGUAAAGCUUAAUUGGCACAUCCACCAGGCUUUCUCAAACAGGUAGUCUGGACACUUAAGUCUGUUCUUAGAGAGUACAGAGGUAUCUCUGAUAAGGUACUUUCCUCCUUCUGGGGAUGGACCUGGCCGGAUGCUGCCAAUGAUGAUAAUUACAAGGAGGCUUGAACUGAGGUUCUGGCUGUGCAUAGCUGUCAGCGCACAAGGUUAUGUAAAUAUUCCUUUAGUAGAGGGGAAAUGGUGCCCAAUAAAUGAUGGAAAAGCUACAAUAGCACACAAGAAACUCAUAGAGGAAAUGGCUGGUAAUCAAAAGCCAAAUAUCACCAAGGCUCCUUGAACCUUAGCUUGGCCUCUGGAAGGCCCUUGGCUACUUCCAGGUAUUAGCUUUGUCAUCAUCAGCUGAAAUCCUACUUGUAUAUUUUUGCGGCUUGCAACAAGUGUCCAGCUAAAACUUAGGACGCUGUUUUUGUUUUUAAAUGCUACUAGAGAAACUGCUGGAUGGUUCGGUAGGUAAAGGCACCUGAUGCCAAGCAUGUGACUUGAGCUCAACCACUAGGAUCCCCUUAAAUGGAAGGAGAAAAUGAGCAGCUUUAAGUUGCCCUGUGACCUUCACAUGCAUACACUAGUGUGCACACACAUGCAUACAUUAUAGAAUAUUUGUUAAAGCUGUAAAGAUGUGUCUCUGUCUAAGGUGCCUUCUGGUUGAUUUAAUAAAGAGCUGAAUGGCCAACAGCAAGGCAGGAGAGAAUAGGCGGGACUUCCGGGCACAUAGAGAGAGAAACUAGGAGGAGGAAUCUAGGCACAGGAUUUUGCCAGCAGACCCGGAGCAAGUCAGACGUGCUAUACUAAGAAGAGGUAACCGAGCCAUGUGGCAGAACGUAGAUUAAAAAAAAAAUUACGGGUUCAUUAAGUUAUAAGAGCUCGUUUGAAAAAAGCCUAAACUAAGGCCAAAUUUCAUAAUUAAUAAGUCAUCUCUGGGUCAUUGUUGCGGGCUGGCUGUCCAAAGAUAGCCUGACAAGAAAGCUUGCCACACACACACACAAUAUAUAUAUGCAUAUAGUAUAACAUUAUAAAUUAUAAUUGCUACUAGGACCACCAGCCAUGGUAGUACAUGCCUGUAAUCUCAGCACUUGGAAGGCUGAGGCAGGAGGAUUGGGAGUUUGAGGCUGGCCUGGGCUACAUAGUGAGACUAUCCUAAAACAAUGUAAGGACUUCUGGGUAAGAUGACAACUAGAAGCUGCCUCUGCGUGAGCCAACAAAAGAGACAGUUCAGAAUAAGAAACUUCAUCUCCACAAGAGAAAUCAAGGAAGAAGAGCCUCAGAAAUGCACACAGUGAAGUGGUCAAAGAUACAACACACAGAGCCGCAAGCUGAACAUGGCCCCUCAUGGAGGGGGAGGCUGAAGAUGCUUCUAAAAGGUAAGCCAGACGGAAAUGGCCAGCCUCGCCCUCAGCACAAACCCACAGCCCUUAGGAGCCUCCAGUCCGGCUGUAGGCUUUGGUGAGACAGUAGUUCCUCUGGCGGGCAGGUCAGUGAUGGAGAGAAAUCCCAUUUUGUCAUACUGUGUGAUUAGGGCAGCCAAAGUCAGGCGCCACCUGGACAGAGACCCGUUGGUUAAAAGCUGAGCUACCCUGGGCCUGAGGUCGGGAGCAUCCACAGACCAGGGAGCCUCGGGUUAGUCCGUUAUAAUCCUUCAUGAGGGAAGACCCACACGGGCAAUUGUGAUGAAGCCAGGCCUCGUGGGACAAAGAGCGCAAGAGGCAGGAGGCUGGCUGAGGUUGACAAGUGCCUAAGGAGAAAUGGCCCUGCCCUUGGUGAGGGAAAUGGAUCUUCUCUACUGAAAACUAACCUGGAAGUCUGAGAAUUGUCAGACUGAGGUCAUCUCCUCCAGCUCCCCAGGGUUUUACUCUGCGUUUAACAGGAUUUCUACAUUUUUUCCCCUUAUUUUAAGUUGUUUAUAUUUUUAGUUGUUAUUCUCCUUUAUCUCAUUUGUUUAUACUUUUUUUCCAUUUGUGGUCAAUAUUUUUUGUUUUCCUUUCUUGGCAUAUUUCCUUGUUAUUAGCUUCUAUACAUUUAGUGGUAUCUAUUUACUUUACCUUAAUUUUUAAAAUAAUCUUAUAUUUAUGUUUCUUAUUGCUCUGAUUUUGGUUUUGAACUUUUUAAUUAUUGGGAAAUCCUUGUUGUUGCCUCCCCCCCCCCCAUCUUUUCUCUGGCCUCCUCUUCUUUUCUUAACAUUCCUUUCUACUCUUUUUUGUUUCCUUCCUUCAUCUCACUUAUUUGCUGUUUUCACACUCACCCUAAUUAACUGUGAGCCUCAGAGUACAUUUUCACACGAGUUUUCCCAUUUUCAGUUGUCUGGUCCCUGGAAUAUAUUACUGAGCUGUCACUGACUCUUGUUUUCUGAACAAUUCUAUAUAUUGUAUGGUUUUGUGUUGACGGUGGUCUAGUAGUUUGUUUUCCCUUUGCUGAGAGGUAGUAGGAGUUCAGCUUUCAAGAGCAGGCUGUCAAUAAGAAGCCCACCGCCACCACAAACAAGCCAGAAAAGGCAUCCAGAGCAACAGAUGUGCAAAUCUCAAUACAAAGUACAAGAAGCGUGAAAAAGCAAGGUGACUCCAAGCAAGCACAGCUCACAGAUACAAAAAUGACUGAAAGACAAGAGAAGAUAGUCCUGGUGAUGAGGAAGAGUGUGGAUGGGCAAAAGGACAUAUGAAGAGGCAAGGAAUCUGAGGAAUGAGGUCAAGGGGGAACAAGAGAGAUGCUGGAUAUCAUAAUGGUACCUAUGGUGGUUUGGAUGCGAAUGGCCCCCAUAGGCUCAUAUGUCUGAAUGCUUGGCCCCCAGGUUGUGGAACUGUUUGGGAAGGACUAGGAGGUGCAGACUUGUUAGAGCAGAUCAAGCUGUAAGCUCUCAGCUGUUCCUGCUGACGCCUUUGCUCUGCCGUCAUGGACUGGAGCCCUCUGAAACCGCGAGCCCAAUUAAAUUCUUUCUCCCAAAUUGCCUUUAGUCAUGGUGUUUUGUCACAGCAUUAGAAAAGUAACUAAGACAGUAUCUAGGCCGGGCAGUGGUGGCACACACCUUUAAUCCCAGCACUCAGGAAGCAGAGGCAGGCAGAUCUCUGAGUUGAGGCCAGCCUGGUCAGCAUAACAAGUUCCAGGACAGCCAAGGCUACACAGAGAAACCUUGUCUGGGGUACGGAGGGGUAGAGAAAAAAAAAGACAGUAUCUAAUACAUUAUAUGUCAAUUUUUAAAAAUUAAAAAAAUAUAUCUUUAUAAAAAAUUUUUAAAGUUUUUGGUAGAAAUGAUCAGUGUCCUGAAAGAGGAUUCAAAUCAGUUAAUGAGUAUAGUCCAGAACUGGAGAGGAAAGUCAGGAACAUAGAAGGAAAAGUCAGAAAAAAUGAAUGAGAAAAAUCAAUAAUGUGAAUGGAAAAGUCAACAAUGCAAAAGAAAAAUUCUGCAAAGGAAUUGAGAUUUUAAAAAAUAAAGAGAUGUUGGAAAUGAAAACCUCAAUGAAUUGAACAAAGCCACAGUGGGCAGCAUCACUAACAGACAUGAGCAAGCAGAAGAAGGAAUAUCAGAGAUAGGAGAAGAGGUUGAUGAAUGCUGCAUUCCGGGCAUCAACGGUAGGGGAGGGGGAGGUAAACGAGCAUGAUUACAAAAUCCAGGAACUCUGGGAUGCAGGCAAGAGAGCAAACCUAAGAAUCCAUAGGAUACAAGAAGAAGCUGAGAUAAACAUUAAAAACCCAAACCUAGAGACAGAUGUUCAAAAGAAAUAUUUAGAACCCCAAACCACCAAAGUAGACAUGACCAGAGAAGAACCUCUCUGUUAUAUAAGACGCAAAGAUGUUUAAAAAAAAUGCAAAGCAAUAAAACAAUGUUAAAAGCUUUAAGAGAAGAGCCAGGUAUGAUAGCAUAGGCUUUUAAAUCCUAGCACUUGGGAGGAAGAGACUGGCAGGUCUCUGUGAAGUCAAGGCCAGCCUGGUCUACAGAAUGAGUUCCAAGCCAGUCAGAAAUACAGAGUGAGACCCUGUCCCCAAAAACAAACAGUUUUAAGAGAAAUUAUGGAAUCAUCUACAAAGGCAAAACAUCAGAGUAAUAUCAGAACUGUAAUUAGCCACUUCAGAAAUUAUUGAAUGGCAUACUUCAGGCCUUGACAGUAACUGCCAACCAAGAUUGCUCCAUCCUGCAAAGCUAUCUUUUAAAGUUGUUGGAGAGAUAAAGACAUUUCAAACCAAGAACAAACUAAGGCAGGUCAUGACUACUGAGCCAGUAGAUAUUCAAAGGAAUACUCUGUACACAGAGAAGACAGACAGAAAGUCUCCACUGCUAGGGGUAUAAGAAAGAAUAACAAAGGAGGGUAGGAAGGAAUCUAAUACCCUAGCAUAAUAAGUCUGAAAUCCCCAAACAGUGGUAGGGAGAGAGUGAAGAACAGACAACCAACCCAAUCAAUCAAAUGAGCAACCAACAAAAUUAUAGAAAUUAGUAAACAUCUUUCAUUAACACCCCUAAAUGCAAAUGGCUUCGACUUGCCAAUAAAAUAAAACAAACAGGCUUGGCUAACUGAAUUUUAAAAAAUAAAUAGAACAACACACCUACAUCCAACUCUCUAUUGUCUCCAAGAAACAAGAAACAUACCUCACUAGUAAAGACAUCUGCAGACGGAGCAUCAAUAAUGAAAAACAACCUGUCAAGUGAAUGGAAACCAAAACUAAGCUGGUGUUGCUGUUCUGUUGCUGUUCCAAUGGAGUUGAUUUAAGAGGAAAUUUUAUAGCUGUGAGUACUUACAAAGAAAGAUCCCAUGGUGCACUUCAAGGUCUGAGAAAAACAAGAACAAUCCAAACUCAAAAGAAGCAGAUGGCAAGAAAUAAUAAAUAUCAAGGAAGAAAUUAAUUUAAAAUGUAUUGAGGCUGAUAGAACAAUACAUAAAAUCAAACAAAUAAACAGUUGGUUUUUUAAAAAACUCAAUAAGAUUGCUAAGUCUCUAGUCAAACUAACUAAAUAGAAAAAGGAAAGAUCCAAAUUCAUAAAAUAACAUGAAAAAGAAGUUACUAUAGAUUUUAAUUAAAUCCAGAGACUAAUUAUGGAAUAUGGUAAUGUAUACCCCCAAAAUCCUGGAAAAACUAGAAGAAAUAGAUAAAUUCCUAGACAAAUAUGACCUAAUGAAACUAAAUCAAGACAGUAUUAACAACUUCAGCAUAUCCAAAGCAAUCAAUGAGAUUGAAGUAGCAAUUUAAAAAAAAAAAUUCAGGGCCAGAAGGAUUCUCUGACAACUUCUAUAAAAUCUGUAACUAAAAGCUAAUACCAGUGCUCCUGAAACCAUUCCAUAAAAUAGAAAAGGAAGGCACACAUCCUACCAGGUCAGCAGUACUCCAAUACUAAAGCCAGAUAAGGACACAAAAAGGAAAGGAAGCUGUAGGCCAACCUCCUUGGUGGCAUAAUCCCAGUGUUUGGGAGGCAGAGACAGGUGGAUCUCUGUGAGUUGGAGGCCAGCCUGGUCUACAGAGCAAGUUCCAGGAUAGCCAGGGCUACACAGAAAAACCCUGUCUCAGAACAACCUCUCCACCCCCACAAAUUCUCAGUAUACAUUUUGCAAGCCUAAUUCAAGAAAACAUUAAGAAGAUUGUGUACAGUGACCAAGGAGGUUUCCUUCUAAUAAGGCAAAGUUGGUUCAAGAUAAGCAAACCAGUAAGUGUAAUUUAGCACAUAAAUAGACUUCAGGCCAGACAUCAUAUGAUCAUCUCACUUGAUACAGAAAAUGCCUUCAAUAAACAUUAACAUCCAUCAUGAUAAAAAGCCCUGAGGAAGCUAAGAGUAGAGGCAAUAUAUUUCAGCAUAAUAAAGGCUAUAUACAAGAAACCCAUAGCCAACAAAUGGGGAAACUGAGAACGUUUCUCUAAAAUUUGCAAUGAGACAAAAGUAUACCCUUUCUACGUUCUUGUUCAUUAUAGUGUUCAAAGUGUUAGCUAGACCAGUAAGACAAGAGAAAGAAAUAAAACAGAUGCAAGUAAGAAAGGUAGAAAUCAAAUCAUGUGUUUAGUAUCCCAUGUUUAUUUCAAACUGUUGGCAGAAAUAAGAGUGGUGUAAAAGCCCCUGUACUGUACUCAAACUGUGCAGUUAAUUCUGAACCCAAAAGCCCACUUCUGCCCUAAAAUAUGAACAACCACAGACAUUAAACCUGGACAAAACAUGAUGCUAAGAAAGUGACCUCAACACUGUUAACUAAGAUGAGACCAAAAAGUAAUGUACAGAGAGUAUGUUGCAACUCAGUUGUACUCAAGUUCCUCACAGUUUUCCGAUUUUUUUGCUGAGAACAAUGUCUGGUUAGAAUUUUUAAACAAGUUGGGAUAUAAAGAAUUGAAAACGUCCCAGAUCUUCCUGAGACAAACAGGAGAAAGGCAAUAAAAAGUUCUGGUUAGUUCCCAGUUUGUGCUGCCUACCUGACAGAGUUCCUUUGCUGUCCCUGUCUGCAGCCCUGGAUCGGGAAUGUGGGUGUGUUUGCAUCAGGGAAAGCCAAAGGCUCCCUACAGGUUUAGGAACCACUAGAGAAUACCAAUGAGUUUCAGACAACUGAACUUAACUUCAUGUUUUAUUUUUUUUUAAUAUUUAGUGCCAUCUAUGAAAUUCUGUUUUUAAAAGGCAGAAAGGUAUUUUUUGGUUGACUCUGAAGUGUUGGCAUCCAAUCAGAAACACGGGGCGCUGUUGCUAGCUCCAGGCCGGAAAGCCCCUUUCCGAGCUUCUUGGCUGUGUACAGACAGAGUGGAUCUCUUUGGCUGUGUGCUGAGUGCGCCUCAUCUCAAAUCCUUAAACAUUCAGUCGAAUCAACAACAGAGAGCUAUUGGAAUAACCACGUAAUGUUAAUAGUCAUUGCUAAUAAAUGCAACAGUUUUCAAAAUUUAAAAAAAGAAUGACAUAAAUAGGUGAAUGCAAGUGCUAUUAGGAUUCCUACGAGACUCUGGCUAGAAAUACCAGAAAGAAUAACCUCAAAAGUGGAUUUGAAAAGAAUCAAAUCUGUUGAAAAACUGAUUCCAGAAGAGAGAAAGUCUUACAGUCUCAUCAAUGAAAAUGAUUAGAGAGGUAUAGAUAAACAUUCUGAAAAUUAUCAAAGAAAAUUGAGCACAAUUAAGUACUAAGACUUUAGAGCCAUUGUAUCCAUUCAUUCAUUCAUCCAUCCAUUCACUCAUCCAUUUUGAGGCAGGGUCUCACUCUAUUACCCAGGCUGACUUGGAUUCCUCAUCCCUCAGGCUCCUGAACAGCGGGGACUACAUGUGCACGUUGUCAACGGUGGCCCUGGUUUUGUUGUUGUUGUUUUUCUAGCUUUUUUUUAAAUUAUCUCUUAUUUUUGAGAUUACAACAUGUCCUCCUUCCCUUUCCUCCUCCCAAACCGUCCCAUUUACUUCUUGCUGUCUUUCAAAUCCAUGGGCUCUUUUCACUUAUCGUUUUUUUGGAGUUCUUAGGACUAUGGGAGUCCUCUCAAAUUCAUCUUUACACAGAUGUUUGGCACUGUUUCCUCUGCGUUAGUUUACUUUUCUAGUUGUCAUAGAAAUACCAACGUUGAAGUAUUUAUUUUGGUCACGGUGUGGUACCGUAUAGGCCAUCAUGGCAGAAAGCAUGACAUCUGAAGUGACUGGGUCCAUAGCAGUGAAAGCGUGAGGCAGCUUGUGCAUAUCUUAACAGAUGAGGGAGUGGGAGCCUCUGUCACCUCUGGGGUAGUCAUACCCUCUAGCCUUCCCCCUUUUGCCUUACAUCUGACAGUUAUGUCCAAACACAACAAUGCUACCAGCUAGGGACUGAAUAUUCAAACACAUGAGCCUGUGGGGGACAUUUGGUUAUUCAAAUCAUGACACGAUACAAGGUCUACAGGGAGUAUAUCUGUGCAGCCAAGUAGCAUCUUCCAGGACUGCUUGUCACCAGCAUCAUUCAGGGAUACCAAUAUCAUGUCCCUUCCAACUGUUGUGGACCCUGAUAGCUGAUAGGUUUCAGUUUAAGUUCCCCCAUGUCUUGGAGGCAGGUUCACUCAGGUAACAAAUACCUAGAUCCGACUUUGGUGCUCACAUGGUUCCCAGAGAAAGGGCAAAACUUUCAACCUGCCAGCUGGCCAAAAGUUUCUUAGCUAACUUGGGCCAUCCAAAUGCUUUGUCUUUCAAUAAGACCUCACCAAAACUCUUAAGUGCAUGGCCCUAGUUAGUCCAGACCUCACCUAGCCCUGUUUUUCAAACCAUAAAUCAUAACUCACAAAAUCAGAGAGAAAAAUUGCAUUUCUGAAAUGAGAUAACAGAGCAUAUCACAGUUCAUUGUAAUAAGAUCGUCAUUGAAUGACAUUGUACUACCCAGUAUAUGGGAGGCUGGGGUAGGGUGCUUAUGUGCAUGCACAUGGGGGCAGCAUUACAUGAUUUUCUUAAUUAUGGUCAUGAUCCAAAAGUGUUAAGGAAUUCACUGCCUUCUACUUCCUUAUUUUAGCGCUGCAGAAACUCAAACUUCCUGAGAUCUGACUUUUCUCUUUUGCCUCAUUUCUUGUCUCCAGGUCAGUCUCAUUUGUCUCUUGAUUUGUUAAACUAUCCUGUUCCUCUCAUACAAACAAUUCCAUGUUAUUAGAAUGUAUUUGAGUCUCUCCCCUAAUAAAGGGGCUUAGCUUGAGUUUUUCUCCACCGGCUUAUUCUUACAAAACAUCCAUUGGUUUGCUGAAUAGCCCGUGUCUAUAAGGACAUACAGUUCAUUAAUUUCAUUCUUAAACUCCAAAAGCCCUCAUUCAGCAUGCAUUAUUGUUCUAGAUGCCUGACUUACCGUUGGCCAUUGUAUCUAGAGGUCUAGGAAUGAUCUAAUAUCGUCCCUAUCAAUCAGUUGAGUGCUUAGAAUGAUGUUUUGUAUUUGUACCUUGAUGGUUACAGCCCACUAGACAAGGACUGUCAGUUGUGUCCUGAUUGUUUUGUGAUGGGGUCUCCCUAUGUAGUCUAGGCUAAGCUUGAAUUUGUGACACUCUUCCCUCAACGCUCCCCACCCGCAGUGCUGGGAUUAGGUCCUUCAUGGUCAUGCCGGACUCUUGCCUAACUUUUAAAAAUCGGUCUCUGUGUCAUCUUCCUGCUCUGCUUCCUCUCUCCACCUGGAAGCCAGCAGCAUCAUCGUCCCAGACUUUCUAAACAUGGGUGUGGGUUUGUUAGUAUGGAAGGCAGUUUCUUUCUAUCUCUAUAAAUGUUCAAUAAAUGUGCGAUUGGA